This 1313-nucleotide long non-coding RNA is filed under the name Cricetulus griseus (Chinese hamster). RNAcentral describes it as "lncRNA (ENSCGRG00015029264.1)". Lineage: Eukaryota; Metazoa; Chordata; Mammalia; Rodentia; Cricetidae. The record is from RNAcentral.
CUAUGAUCUAAGGACCUAAAGCCCUCACACUGGAAGCUUCCUGUGUAAUCCAGAGUCUCCUGCCUGCUAUGAAUGAAUCCAUUGCUAGUCCUAGGCCCUGCAUGGAUGCCAAGGAGAAAAGAAGAUGAAGGUGUGGAUUUCUUUUGAGUUUGGCCCAAAUGUGGCACCAGUGGACUACCUGAGGAAAGGGUGUGGCGGACCUUUGUGGGGCUGUCAUUGUGGCAGGAGCCAAGAGACCUGGGUUCUCUGUUACGUGUCCUGGUGCCCUUGAGUCUAUGUAAAUACCAUCAGAUAGCUUUCCUCUGUGUGAAUGGAGGGUUAUAGACAUCUGUACCUGGCUGCAUGCACACGGUAAAGAAGGGUCCAUAUACAAGAGGGACUGCAGAUCUUCAGAAAAAAGGAGGGCGGAGGCAUGGGCCCUAGAAGAUUGUCCGUUGGCAUUCUUGGUGCAACACUGCCAUCAAGCGGAAUUGCUUUCAUGUUUGUGCCACCAUCUUAGUGUGCACAUUGUCAGAAAGUCUAGAGUGAAGGAGCGAGGAAUAAAUGGGGACCGUGGUCCAAAAACAGAACCAAAGGGGGCUCCUGUUAUUCCAAUUCAGAUAAUGGGCGAGAGGACCUCACCAUUUGCCAGCCCUGGAGGCUCGCCCUACCCCAGAGCAAUCACCUAGCAACACAGAGAAGUACAGGCUUGGAUUUCCUGUGGCAGCCAUAUUUGUCAGGGUGGGAGGAGCCCUCUGCCUAGGAGUUAGCAGCUUUGAGCAGAUAUGUCAUAGCGUCAAGGAUCAGAGCCUGUUCUUGGGCAUGUGGUCACAACAGGAUCCCCAGCUUCUUGAUUUUUUUUUUUUAACUCUCAACUGUAUUUACCGCUAUUUGGUGAAAUCAGACUCCGCCCUUGGGAGUCUUAACUCUGUUAAUGGGCUUGGAGAUCCCGAGAUGCGCCACCUAGUGGUCAUUUAUCUGUCAGUCAGUUCUUCAUUCCCUCAUUCCUUUCUUCCUUCCUCCUUCAACUCCUCCUUCUUCUCUUCCUUCCUCCUGUCCUGCUGACAUCCCCGUGUGCUCUCUUUGCUUCAUGUUCAGUUUCUUCCUUGUUUUUUGUCUUUUCUGCAUUUAGACUUUCUUUUUGUGUCUGUCACAUGAAAAAUAAAAACCCAGAGACAGAUAUUGGGAUUAAAGCUGAGGAUCAGAGAAGCAAACCAGCCAGCCACCUGAGAGUUCUCACCUCUACCAAUGCUCAGAGCAAAUGGGUGAUGCACCCAACCUCAGAUUGCAUCUCCAGACUGCAUGGCUCCUCACCAAAACUGAUAAUCCUAGAC